Acinonyx jubatus (cheetah) is the source of this 545-nucleotide long non-coding RNA. RefSeq lists it as uncharacterized. The transcript has 2 exons. Lineage: Eukaryota; Metazoa; Chordata; Mammalia; Carnivora; Felidae. The record is from RefSeq and is a predicted model, not a curated record.
AUUGGGGGGUGGUCCCACUCCUUUCCAGUGCUGCCCCACCUCUGCUCCCGCCCUUAUCUCCCAUGAGCUGGGCCAAACUGGGCUGAAGGGCAGAAGCUGGGGCCUGCCCAGCCUCCAGAAAGCUCCGAGGUGAAAGAAAGUGAGCCUAGUGGUGGAAGGCUUAGACUCCAGAACUGGUCAGAGCUGCGUGGGACUCCCAGCUGCCCCCACCCCUCUGUUUUGUGACCUCAGGCAGGCCAUACCCCCUCUGAUUCUCAGCCUCUUCACCUUUGGGAGGGGAUCACAACCAGACUUCGUCAUGGGAUUGCUGUGACUACCAAGUGGGGGCCCGCUCACGCCGCACACUUCAUUUCCUGCCUGUGCCCAGUCCUCUGUGAGUGCUCAGGAAACAGGGACUCACAGUUGGCUUGGCUCUGAUUCACGCUCCAGCAGGAGAGAGCAGCCCUCAAAUGCAGCAGAACGGUUCGAGGUCAGACAUCUGGAGGAACUUCCUUGACAGGCAAAACAUGGCACUGAGGAGUGUGUUCAAUAUCUACCAAGAAUAA